ACGAGCGCUGGCGGCGUGCUUAACACCUGCAAGUCGAACGGUGAAGCGCCUUCCUUUUUGGUGGGUGUGGAUGAGUGGCGAACGGGUGAGUAACACGUGAGUAACCUGCCCCCUUCUUCUGGAUAACCGCAUGAAAGUGUGGCUAAUACGGGAUAUUCUGGGUCUGUCGCAUGAUGGGUCUGGGAAAGAUAUUGUUUCGGUGGGGGAUGGGCUCGCGGCCUAUCAGCUUGUUGGUGGGGUGAUGGCCUACCAAGGCGGUGACGGGUAGCCGGCCUGAGAGGGUGGACGGUCACACUGGGACUGAGACACGGCCCAGACUCCUACGGGAGGCAGCAGUGGGGAAUAUUGCACAAUGGGCGCAAGCAUGAUGCAGCGACGCCGCGGGAGGGAUGGAGGCCUUCGGGUUGUGAACCUCUUUCGCCAGUGAAGCAGGCCUGCCUCGUUUGUGGGUGGGUUGACGGUAGCUGGAUAAGAAGCGCCGGCUAACUACGUG
RNAcentral lists this ribosomal RNA (493 nucleotides) under uncultured bacterium. RNAcentral's name for it is "partial 16S ribosomal RNA". It matches the Rfam family "Bacterial small subunit ribosomal RNA", at positions 29 to 507 of the family's 1533-position model. The record is from RNAcentral.